GACGAACGCUGGCGGCGUGCCUAAUACAUGCAAGUCGAACGCUGAAGAGAGGAGCUUGCUCUUCUUGGAUGAGUUGCGAACGGGUGAGUAACGCGUAGGUAACCUGCCUGGUAGCGGGGGAUAACUAUUGGAAACGAUAGCUAAUACCGCAUAAAAUGGAUUAUCGCAUGAUAAUCCAUUGAAAGGUGCAAAUGCAUCACUACCAGAUGGACCUGCGUUGUAUUAGCUAGUUGGUGGGGUAACGGCUCACCAAGGCGACGAUACAUAGCCGACCUGAGAGGGUGAUCGGCCACACUGGGACUGAGACACGGCCCAGACUCCUACGGGAGGCAGCAGUAGGGAAUCUUCGGCAAUGGACGGAAGUCUGACCGAGCAACGCCGCGUGAGUGAAGAAGGUUUUCGGAUCGUAAAGCUCUGUUGUAAGAGAAGAACGAGUGUGAGAGUGGAAAGUUCACACUGUGACGGUAUCUGACCAGAAAGGGACGGCUAACUACGUG
Molecule: ribosomal RNA, 497 nt
Filed under: uncultured bacterium
Lineage: Bacteria
Description: partial 16S ribosomal RNA
Rfam family: Bacterial small subunit ribosomal RNA
Source: RNAcentral